This 492-nucleotide ribosomal RNA is filed under the name uncultured bacterium. Its description in RNAcentral is "partial 16S ribosomal RNA". It matches the Rfam family "Bacterial small subunit ribosomal RNA", at positions 29 to 507 of the family's 1533-position model. The record is from RNAcentral.
AGUGAACGCUGGCGGUAGGCCUAACACAUGCAAGUCGAACGGCAGCACAGUAAGAGCUUGCUCUUACGGGUGGCGAGUGGCGGACGGGUGAGGAAUACAUCGGACUCUACUUUUUCGUGGGGGCUAACGUAGGGAAACUUAUGCUAAUACCGCAUACGACCUACGGGUGAAAGUAGGGGAUCUUUGGACCUUGCGUGAUUGAAUGAGCCGAUGUCGGAUUAGUCAGUAGGUGGGGUAAAGGGCCAACAAGGCGACGAUCAGUAGCUGGUCUGAGAGGAUGAUCAGCCACACUGUAACUGAGACACAGUCCAGACUCCUGCGGUGGGCAGCAGUGGGGAAUAUUGGACAAUGGACGCAAGCCUGAUCCAGCCAUACCGCGUGGGUGAAGAAGGCCUUCGAGUUGUAAAGCCCUUUUGUUGGGAAAGAAAAGCAGCAGGUUAAUACCCCACUGUUCUGACGGUACCCAAAGAAUAAGCACCGGCUAACUUCGUG